Small nucleolar RNA from Neomonachus schauinslandi (Hawaiian monk seal), 136 nucleotides. RefSeq annotates it as small nucleolar RNA SNORA31. The record is from RefSeq and is a predicted model, not a curated record. NCBI's taxonomy places the organism in Eukaryota, Metazoa, Chordata, Mammalia, Carnivora, Phocidae. The transcript has a single exon.
AUGCAUCUAUUUGACAGACUUGUAGCAGUUACUGUCUGCUGCUAAGGUUUUCACUAGAGAUGCAAGAAAAAUGUGUCCUCGUGCUUUCCGUCUGUCUGAUUGUGGCAGUCAAUGGGGCAAUACAAGGAAAAAAAUA